GCACACAGCCCCCAAGCCAGAGCCUCAGUGGGGCCACAUUCCCACACCACCUGUCUCACAUCCAGCAUCAGCCACAGCAUGUCCAGACCUACUGCCUCCAGCACAAAGAGCACCCCAGCCUCCUCAUGCUCCUCCUUCCCCAGGGCCUUGCCUGCGACCCAUCCCGAGGCACUGGAACGACAAAGACCCCUACCACCUGCAAGUGGAAGGAAAAGCAAAAACAAGAUACCCCUUUGUAUCCCUACUUCACUCGGAGUCCUUACAAUGGCCUAUAAGAUACUCCAUGAUCUGCUCCACUACCCAUUUAACACCCACUUCAGCCACUCUCCCUCUUGCUCUCUCUGCUGCAGCCACACUGACACCCCUGCUGCUCCUCAAACACAGCAGGCUCACUGGGCCUGCAGGCCUCAGGGCCUUUGCACUGGUGGCUGCCUCUGCCUGGAACACUCCUCCCCCAGUUGGCUGUGUAGCUUACUCCUUUUGCCUCCAUUAAGUCUUUGCUUAAAUGUCACCUUCUCAGUCCAACUCACUAGUCACGUUGUUCAUCCGAUUUAAAAUUGCAAUUAUCACCAUCACCACCCCUAGCCCAUACUCCCAAUCCCUCUCACCCUGGUCUAAUUUUUUCCUAGCAUGUUUUGUCUAUUAACAUACCAUAUAUUUAUUAUUCCUUGACUGUCUCUUCCAGUUAGAAUUCAUAAGCUCCAUGAGGGCAGGGAUCUUUGUUUUGUUCACUGAUCCUAAACCCCUAGCACAGAGCAGGGACUCUACAAAUGCUUGAUGAAUUAAAGGAAAUAAUUAAUUCGCAUAAAUUACUAAAAGUACUUAAACAGUAUCAGGUGCAGAGCAAGCAUUCAGUAACUAAGCCAGGCAUAGAACCACAGAUUCUGUGGGUCAGAAGGAACCCUGGAGGCCAUCAGUCCACGCUCCCACCUAAGGCAGGAGUCACCCCUACAGCUUCCUUCAGAGUAGUCACUGAGCCUGUGCCUGAAUGCCUCCAGGGGCAGCGAACUCAUUACUUCUCAAGGCAGCUCAUUCCAUCUUGGAAGAGCUGUAGUGUUCUUCCUUCCUUGAAUGCUACUUUGUCAUUCAGCUUCUCUGAGUUUUCCCAUCUUUAGAGAAUUAGAAUGGAAAGUCCCUCCCAACUCUACCUGCUUUUGACUCUUAUUGAGGGCACUGCUUUGUGAGAUUAAAUUGUGCAGACUGCUCCCUCCUUUUCUCCCCUCACUUCUCAGCAGGAGGCUCUUCUGCCUAGAACAGAGCUCAGAGAUGCCACUUCCAGGAACCCUUUUCUGGCCCAAGCCACCCUUAUGUUGCUCAAGCCGCUGGUUUAAGCUUUGGUCCACUGUGAAGGGGCAUGCGCACACACAGCUCAUGACUGGAAAUGCCUUCUGUCUAAUUUCAAUCUCACUCACUAUAAUUUUCAGUCCAGUUCCUUUCAAAGCUGCUGCAUACCAUGGCAAAAAUACAAAGCCCUUAAGCUCUGCCCUUUCCUAGCUGAGAGGCACCCAGCAAAUGUGAGAUGGGGUCACACCUCUCUUGCAGGUGACAAUAAAUACAAGGGCUUAGCCAGCCCUUGGGAACAUUACAGGCACUCAGUAGUGGCAGCACUAUUAGGGUGACAUUUAUGACUAUCAUGCAUGCUUGUCCUACCAAAACAGGAGCUCUUCUAGAAGACCUGCUCAAUAGAGCACCAUGUCCCAAGGAAAAGAGCUCUGAGUAGGGUGUCAAGAGACAAGGAUUUGAGCCCCAUUCUGUAAUCACCUGGCUGGGUGACCUGAUGGAAAUCAACCUCUAUUGAACUUGUUUUCCUUAUCUGUAAAAUAAGGUUUUAAAAUAUCCCUUUCUUGUCAUAAAAAUCAUGAUUUAAAAGAAAUUUUAAAGACGUAAGAACAUGCUUGUGAAAUGUUACGUGGAAUAAAAGCAGGUAGACACAUA
This is a long non-coding RNA of Homo sapiens (human), 1935 nucleotides long. RefSeq lists it as uncharacterized. The transcript has 2 exons. NCBI's taxonomy places the organism in Eukaryota, Metazoa, Chordata, Mammalia, Primates, Hominidae. The record is from RefSeq and is a predicted model, not a curated record.